This 74-nucleotide transfer RNA is filed under the name Gemmatimonadota bacterium. Its description in RNAcentral is "tRNA-Pro". It matches the Rfam family "tRNA". Rfam says of the family: Transfer RNA (tRNA) molecules are approximately 80 nucleotides in length. Their secondary structure includes four short double-helical elements and three loops (D, anti-codon, and T loops). Lineage: Bacteria; Pseudomonadati; Gemmatimonadota. The record is from RNAcentral.
CGGGACGUGGCGCAGUCCGGUAGCGCACCUGCUUUGGGAGCAGGGGGUCCCCGGUUCGAAUCCGGGCGUCCCGA